CGAAGUCAGAUGCUUAACUGACUAAGCCACCCAGGCGCCCCAGUUUAUUUUUAAUAUUUAAAAAAAAAACGAUAAUAGCAAGUAUUACACUGAUGCACUAAUGGAGUUUGGUUUUCUUUCUCUUCAAGUGACCUUUUCCCUGGAGUGUUGGUCUAUUCUUACUGAAAGGUUAUAAAAGAUUAUAUUCUUAUUUUCUAUAAAAUCUGCCUAAAAAGCAAAGAUUCUGUGUCUGACUAGGAUCACUUCUAUGGUCUGUAUUGAUUUUUUUAUGUUCUUGAUUAUUUAAGAAAGCAAAAAUUUUCCAUGGUGAAAAAACUAAAAUUCUUUAUAAUCAUAUUACCUACUGGGUUUACUUUUAAAAUAUUUGAUUGUCACUUAAUUUAAUAGGUAGCUAAGUAUUGUUUCUCAAUCAUACAGGGUUCUUUUUUUUUUACUUUAAUUUUUUAAAUUUUAUUAUGAGAAGACCCAUGAUCCUAUCUUCAUCAAGCUCAAAUAAGCUGACAAUCUUGAUAUUUUGCCUUUACAAAAUUGAUUCUAACUAAUGUCUUUUGGACCUAAAACUGUCUCUGAUAGUUUCCAGAAGCUUCCAGAAUCACAAAGGAUUUGUGCUUCCACCUUAUAUAGAGAGAGAUGCCAGAAAUAAUUAGGCUUAUUUGAAACAACCAAUUUUCCUUGCCAGAUGCAUUAUUCUUGAACAACACUCAUCAGAUCUUUUACUUUUGAAAAUUGUCAGUAAUAAGCACAGCUGUUUUACAUCUUUUGUCAUCUAUGGGCAGUCUUUUGUUUUAUUCUGAUGCUUCCCUGAAAGCACUUGCAAUCAGCUACAGGCCAGAGGGCUUUGUCUUCAACAAAGAAAGACUUGCUUAGAGCUAAAUGGAAAACGACUAUGCCAGAAGAUACUUCUGAGUCCAGGAUUCUGGUGAUAGCCUAUCACUUAAACAACUUUGGGACCAUACCAGUGGACUAAGUCAGGAUUUCCAGAACUUUAGUCAAGAAGCAAGUGGGUUCACAAGACUGCUAACCCAAGAAUAAGCAGAACAAGAAUCAAUUCAUGUCAGUGAAGUGAUAAAGGAUGACUAUGGGUUUUGUUCGGAAUAUUGUUGAUGUUUUAAUGUUUUAUUUUCUGGAUAUAUAAGUAAUCCUUUAAUCUUUUCUCUUUAUGUAUAAUUUAUAACAAUUCAGUAGACUAAACUUCUAUAAACUGAAAGAAAUACUUGUAAAUGUUAUCUUUUUCUCCCUCAUUGAUACCUCCAGGAUUUGGAAGUUUUCAUUCAGUAUUUUUUUUCAUGGCCAAUAUACUUAUUUGCAUAAGUUCUGCAGAAGUCUGAUCUCCUUGUUAGCAGGUAUUGGAAAUAUUGGUUUUGCCACCAACGACUUGCUUGAAAUAUCAUAGUUAAGAACCAUUCUCAUUUAAUUAGAUAUGACCAGUUACUUAGGAACUGAAGUUGACACUAUGGAGUCAGUACUUAUAAAGCCCCCCUUGGAAAAACUAGACUGGUACCUGACUCACAAAAUUUCCUGAGUUAUGGAUGAAUAAGGAAGGCCAUUUCCUCAAAAGCUCAGGAAUCUUAGGACAUGUGGGGGACUUGAAGAGAGAGGUAUAUACCCCAAUUUAUAGGUACCAAUGGUGAAAUCUGAUGAUUAAGUUCAUGACUUGACUUCAUAAUCUCAAAAGGCAUUUAAAAUUCCAAUUUGAAAUUCCUUUAUGAACAUUUCCAGCAAAACCAGCUUAAGACGGUCUAUAUGCUGCACCUAUGUAAAUAGUGAAGCCAAACAAAAUGAAGCUAGUCUCAUUUUGUGACCAAGAAUAAUCUUUCUUUGACAUUAUUUUUGAUCAAAGGAGGGGAAGCUAUGAAGAGAAAUUUUGUAUUUCAACAGAAAGUUUUCAUUAACAGCAUUAUUUAUAGCACAAUCUUUCAAGUUGUCAAAUUCUAACUGUUCACUCUGAGUAUUUUUUGCAACCUUUUUGAAAUUAUGGUAACUAAUGGAUGGAUGUGUACAUUCUGUCAUCUUGUCCAAUAAAAAUUUAUGCCACUUUCCCCACCAUGGGAAAACAAAUUUUGGCAUCUAUGUGUAAAUUAGACUCCAUGCACAUUGCUCAAAUUGUUAAUCCUUACCAAAUUUUCAAUUCUUCCCAUUUCCUUCAAUAGCUGAUCACAGUCCUCCAAGAUAACGUCUAAUUUCUUUUCCUCCUGCUUGACCCUAUGUCAUGGAGGACAAAGACUAAAACAUGACUCAGAUCCUUCUUGAGACUGUAGAUUAUCUUGAAGCUUGCCCUUUUCCCCAGGAUCUGAAGAGUCCCUAUGAACUGAUGCCUGAGAAUGGAUUAUAAACUUCACUCUCACAGCAGGCCUUACAUUGGCUGGAUGUCCCUUUGAGCAAGCAACUGGCUUAGCCACAAAGGAAGUCCAGUAAAAUGCUUGGGGCUUGCAAGCCCUCAUGUAAGAGGUAGCCAACAUUGUGGACAUGGUCAGUGAGAACAUGGACUUUUAGCUCAAGAGAGUCAAGAAACUCUGUGAUAUAUAUCGCAUAAAUGAAAGAUUUUUCUCCACUGACUUCUUGGAAUCCGCUGUACCAGUUACUCUCAGGGUUAAACUCCUAGCUCUUACUUUGAAACAACCUUUUAUGAUAAUAUUUCUCCUUUCCAUUGUGGACAUCCUUCUUUUAAGAUGCCUGAUCAGCAGGACUCUAAAACAACUGACCUUUGCCACAACCUCUAAACAGCUAAUUCAACUGAUUUGCAGGCACAAUGCCAACAGCCAGAGACUAUUUGUUAGACCCUACUUCCCGCAAUCAGAAGGUUUCUGAUUACUUCUGAGUUGUUUGGAAAGGGAGUGCUGACAAGGUUGAAAUUUGCCCAGCUCUGAGCUUCCAGAAAAUAAUUACAGUUAAGAAAUCCUCCCAAUACUUUUAUGUUCUGAGAGAAAAGUCAACCCUAACCAGCUAACCACAAAAGACUAGCAGCAGGUUCUGGCAUAUUUCAAGAUAAAACCCACCUCCACCUUUCAUCAAUGAUUCAGAUUAGAGCAGAUUCCACCUUCUCAUGACCCCCAUAAGACAGGAAUAACUCUUUGUUUAUGAGCUCUAUAAAUCCCUGAUGUCUUUCCUUUCCUUUCCUUUCCUUUCCUUUCCUUUCCUUUCCUUCUUCCCUUUCCUUUCCUUUCCCUUCCUUUUUUUUUCCCCAGGAUGCUUCCCAUAAAUGAACCUUAUUCCUAUCACAAUAGCCUGAAUAAAAUUCUCUUCUUAAUUGUCUGAUACAUUUUGUUUUAGAUACCCAUCUUAUUUUAAGUUUUGUCUUUGUUUCUGAGUGUUGGAAAGUACACUUUCUUUUUAUCAAGUUCAGGCAGAUAUUAAAAAUGUUAUAAAUUUAUAUAACAUUUUUAUACGCUUUUAGCGGGAAAGAGGCCCUCAAUAACCCAGUCUUUCUUGUGAUAGGAAACUGAUGCCACCUCUAUUCUCUUUUCAGUCUUUUGUUGGUGGAUAUAUUUUGUGCCCAGUUCCAUUAGAGCUUUGCCUUUUGAUUCACAAAAACUUAUCUUUCCCUUUAAAAUAUAAAGAACCAAGCUUUGGCUUUCAUAAUUAUUGCCUCUGAAGUAGGCAUCAAGAACCUCUCUUGGAACUCAAAAUCUGAGUACCAACUCUCUUUGCAUUUCUGUUACAAUUAUAUCAAUUUCCCCCCAAAGUAAUGGAUGCCUCUGGUGAAUAAAGGGAAGAUUUUGUAUGAGGGAAUGUAAAGGAAAAACACCUUGAUUCAUUUCAAGAAGUUAUCUCAAUAUAGUUUCAAUCAUUCAUACCUACCAUCCAGCAGAAUAUGCUCCCUAAAAAUGUGGUAUUUGGCUUCCCAUUGUGUGCGUGUAGCCACAGAUCAGGGCUCCCUUUCAUACACACUUUUCCACAAGUCCUGAAUCUCUUGAACUGACCCACACUUCAGGCUGUGUCUCCUAGGAGUUGGUUAACUUUGCUAUUUCUGUACUCUUUGCCUUGUUUGAUUCACUGUGUUGCCCCUGUGUUACAAUUUUGAUUUCUCUCUUAUGUUAUCCGUCUUUAGACAAUACAAAUAAGAUCAGUCUUUGUUGGCCCACCCCUAGCACAAACAAAUCCAAAUAUUUCCACCGAAUUCACCUAAUAGUAUACCUGGAUUAAAUAAACAAAAAUGUUUAAUAGAUCCUUUCCAGGGAAAAGAUUUUGAAUGGCAGAAGGGAAGUGAGAUCUAAGGUUAAGAAAGUUGUCUAAAUGCACAUGUGUCCAGUCUCUCCAGCUCUGGAAACUUUAUAUGUGUAUGUAUAUGUCUGUGUAUACACACAUAUACAAAAUUUUCCAGGCCAAGUAG
Molecule: long non-coding RNA, 4330 nt
Organism: Felis catus (domestic cat)
Lineage: Eukaryota; Metazoa; Chordata; Mammalia; Carnivora; Felidae
Exons: 2
Source: RefSeq, a predicted model, not a curated record